RNAcentral lists this transfer RNA (71 nucleotides) under Diutina rugosa. RNAcentral describes it as "Candida rugosa tRNA". It matches the Rfam family "tRNA". From Rfam's summary of the family: Transfer RNA (tRNA) molecules are approximately 80 nucleotides in length. Their secondary structure includes four short double-helical elements and three loops (D, anti-codon, and T loops). Further hydrogen bonds mediate the characteristic L-shaped molecular structure. tRNAs have two regions of fundamental functional importance: the anti-codon, which is responsible for specific mRNA codon recognition, and the 3' end, to which the tRNAs corresponding amino acid is attached (by aminoacyl-tRNA synthetases). tRNAs cope with the degeneracy of the genetic code in two manners: having more than one tRNA (with a specific anti-codon) for a particular amino acid; and 'wobble' base-pairing, i.e. permitting non-standard base-pairing at the 3rd anti-codon position. RNAcentral also lists the same sequence under 1 other name. Lineage: Eukaryota; Fungi; Ascomycota; Pichiomycetes; Serinales; Debaryomycetaceae. The record is from Rfam by way of RNAcentral.
GCAUCAAUGGUGUAGUGGUAACAUUUCACUUUCCCAAGGUGGAGCCAGGGGUUCGAUUCCCCUUUGAUGCA